UCGGGAAUUUUGGGCAAUGGGCGAAAGCCUGACCCAGCAACGCCGCGUGAAGGAUGAAGUAUUUCGGUAUGUAAACUUCGAAAGAAUAGGAAGAAUAAAUGACGGUACUAUUUAUAAGGUCCGACUAACUACGUGCCAGCAGCCGCGGUAAUACGUAGGGACCAAGCGUUGUUCGGAUUUACUGGGCGUAAAGGGCGCGUAGGCGGCAAUUCAAGUCAUCUGUGAAAUCUCCGGGCUUAACUCGGAACGGUCAGAUGAUACUGCUUUGCUAGAGUGCAGAAGGGGCAAUCGGAAUUCUUGGUGUAGCGGUGAAAUGCGUAGAUAUCAAGAGGAACACCUGAGGUGAAGACGGGUUGCUGGGCUGACACUGACGCUGAGGCGCGAAAGCCAGGGGAGCAAACGGGAUUAGAUACCCAAGUAGUCCCUGAGCGGGCUGGCAAGGCGCAU
This 447-nucleotide ribosomal RNA is filed under the name uncultured bacterium. RNAcentral's name for it is "bacterial SSU rRNA". It matches the Rfam family "Bacterial small subunit ribosomal RNA", at positions 355 to 825 of the family's 1533-position model. The record is from RNAcentral.